AGGGUUACAUGCAUGGACGCGAGAUGUGCUCGCUUGUUUACUCGCCCCUGUCGCGCGCCGUCGUGCCUCGGAGCCGUAAUGAGUGGGCCGGUUGGAAAGAGAAGGGCGUUCCUACCUAUCAGCCUCCCGUGGACGUGAGCGACAGCGAAGAGCAGAACCUUGAGGCUGAUUUCCCUGACUACGUGGACCCUCCCUUUGAC
This 200-nucleotide long non-coding RNA is filed under the name Zostera marina. Its description in RNAcentral is "long non-coding RNA (ZMAR_LNC001963)". The record is from RNAcentral. Lineage: Eukaryota; Viridiplantae; Streptophyta; Magnoliopsida; Alismatales; Zosteraceae.